RNA transcript from Panicum virgatum (switchgrass), 1418 nucleotides. RefSeq lists it as uncharacterized. The transcript is spliced from 9 exons. Lineage: Eukaryota; Viridiplantae; Streptophyta; Magnoliopsida; Poales; Poaceae. The record is from RefSeq and is a predicted model, not a curated record.
AACCAAACGUCAGGAAUGGCCACCACCACCACAUCCCUCCGCUCCCGCCUCCUCAUCCUCCCACCACCGCCGUCUCCCUCCGUUUCCGCCCAUGCGCCUCCGUACUCCCCUCCUCUUCCCGGAGGAACCUCCGCCUCGCGGCACGUGCGGCGCCGCCCGGCGGCGCGGUGGCCCCUGCGUCGUCGUCGGCGGCGCCGGCGGCGGAGGAGAAGGAUGGGAACGGCGGGGGCGAGGGGCUGUCGGCGGCCGACGCGGAGAGGCUGUGCGAGUUCCUCCGCGCCGACCUGCCGCACCUGUUCGACGACGUGGGCAUCGACCGGUCCGCGUACGACGACCGCGUGCGGUUCCGUGACCCCAUCACCCGGCACGACACCAUCGACGGCUACCUCCUCAACAUCCGCCUCCUCAAGCUCCUCUUCCGCCCCGACUUCUACCUCCACGCCGUGAAGCAGACAGGGCCGUACGAGCUCACCACGAAGUGGACCAUGGUGAUGAAGUUUAUGCUCCUGCCGUGGAAGCCGGAGCUGGUCUUCACCGGGCUGUCGAUCAUGGGCCUCAACCCGCAGAAUCUCAAGUUCAACAGCCAUGUGGAUCUUUGGGAUUCGAUCGAAAAUAAUGAAUACUUCUCUUUCGAAGGAUUAUGGGAUGUUUUCAAGCAGCUACGGUUUUACAAGACCCCGGACAUAGAAACACCAAAUUACCUUAUUCUAAAGAGGACGACACAUUAUGAGGUUAGAAGUUAUUCACCAUUCUUAAUAGUUGAAGCAAAAGGAGAUAAACUGACAGGAUCUUCAGGAUUCAAUAAUGUAACUGGAUAUAUAUUUGGCAAGAAUGCUUCAUCUGAAAAGAUUCCGAUGACUACACCUGUCUUCACUCAAGCUUCUGAUGGCACACUUUCAGAUGUAUCCAUCCAGAUAGUUCUGCCGAUGAACAAAGACUUGAACAGUUUACCAGCUCCAAAUACAGAAGCGGUUACUUUGCGGAAGGUAGAAGGAGGCAUUGUUGCAGUAAAAAAAUUCAGUGGACGACCAAAAGAAGAAAUUGUGCUCCAGAAGGAAAAGGAUCUACGCUCCCAAUUACUUAAAGAUGGAUUGAAGCCUCAACAAGGCUGUUUGCUUGCACGUUAUAAUGAUCCCAGGACAAAGAGCUUCCUAAUGAGGAACGAGGUGCUGAUACGGCUAAAUGAGUUCACACUGGAGUUGUAAUCAUCAUAGCUGGCAACAGAUUUAUGUAACACUAGGCUUUGGGCUUGGAUAUUUCAGCGCAUCAUUAGAAAGGGCAAAUCUUGUUAACGGGUGGAUGUGCUUUAUGUAAAUGUGAAAUUCUGAAAGGUAAUAAGCUACAUGAUAAAACAAUAGAUCACUCUAUUAUGUUUAUACACCAUAUUUUGAAUUGACAGAAAAAAGUAUUAGAAUGAA